AUGCUUUGCAGAGACCGGCCGUGCAGAGCGAGUGUGUGGAAGGCUGUCGCCGUCAGGCCCGUACAGUACGAGAGCUUCAGGGAGCGCAGUUUUAGGGGGCUGGGACUUCCCCGGGGCGAUCCAGCAGUGACCGACAGUCACUUUACGCCACAGCACGGGACUGGAGGCCGCCGCGUUCCACAGGCGACACACUCUGCCCACCCUACACCGGAAACACACACCGCAGUGACCACGCCAGAGUCAGCGCCGCACCGCUGAGCCUCUGCCAACCAGUCAAGUUGCAGUUCACAUCCACGACAAAUUACCAUAUUAAGUUAUCCUAUUGGUGUCAAAUUAUCAUUUCUGAUGUUUUUUUUAUUAUGAUUUCUUUAGGAUUUUAUGAUGAGGCCAGUAUUUGAUCAUAACCUGUAUGUUUAUUGCUUUUUUUAUGAUGUUUCUGUGAUAAUCUUUCUCUCCAUUAGUGAAGCCUUGUAAUAUCUGGCCACAGGGACUACGGUUGAAACUUAGCCUUCGACUGAUUGAUGUGUACGGUCCCUGUUCAAAUAAAUAAAUAGUUAGCAUAUGAAUUAUGGCCAAAAUUGAAAUUCUAAUCAGUUCAUCCUUGAGUUCAGGUGGACGUUUGAGCCAAAUGUGAAGAACAUUCCCUCACGGCGUUCCUGAGAUAAACGGAAGAACGUACAGACUCCAGGAAAUACCCAAAAGUCCCAAAACAAGAGUGAAAAGUGACGACAUAAUGAUACUCAUAAAAUAACAUUAAUAACUGUAUUGAAGGCUGAAUGUGUUCUGGUUUUCUUGUUUCUUCUAUUUUAGUAGAUUGAAAUAAUUUGGGUGUUGGACUGAUUGACAUUCUGAAACUUGAUGGGCCAAAUGAUUAAUUUACAAACUAAUCUGCAAUUCAAACAAUAUUUUUCUGAAAGUAAUAAUCAUUUGCAGUCGUGAUUAUGAUCUCGUUGAUGUACAAAGAAUCACACAUGACAUGAAAUUGAUUUUCAAUGCAAUGAAAUGUGUAAAGCUGUUUCCAUUGUUGACGCAGACUGAACUUUACUCUGCUACAGUUGAAAUACAAUAAGUGGAAUCAUU
Molecule: long non-coding RNA, 1080 nt
Organism: Pseudoliparis swirei
Lineage: Eukaryota; Metazoa; Chordata; Actinopteri; Perciformes; Liparidae
Exons: 2
Source: RefSeq, a predicted model, not a curated record